UCCAUACAGCCAGGUCUUGUUUUUCGCUUUUUGGGAGUGGUGAGACAUUUGACCAAUAUAAGUUAUACUCUAUGUUUAUAGCUUUUGACACAUUGGGUUUGUCAUGAAACUUGAAAGGAAUAUUCAACAUUGAAUAUGAUGAUCGGGAUUCGGGCCGAUAAAGUGUUUUAAUAUGCUAAAAUGUGUUUGUAAAUGUUAUUGAAACUGUUCAAAAGAGAAUGUGAUAACAAUGGGUGGAUGUAUUGGAAUAACUAGAACCAGAAGUGGGGCGAUAGAAGAAUCUUCAGGAACGGUAUCUCGACCUAACUCUGGUGGUUUAAGAAAGAAUCAAUCGUUGUGCCAUGAGACAAUCAGGUGGAAAUCGGAUGUGCCAUUGACAGAAGGUCAAUUAAGGAGCAAACGCGAUGAAUUCUGGGACACUGCCCCGGCCUUUGAAGGUCGGAAAGAGAUUUGGGAUGCAUUACGUGCAGCUGCCGUCGCUGCAGAGGCAAUGGACUUUCAACUUGCUCAGGCAAUCUUAGAUGGUGCCAGUGUUUCAGUCCCAAAUGGAUAUCUUACAGAGUGCUAUGACGAGUGGGGAACUAGAUAUCAGGUACCAAUAUACUGUCUGUCAGCCCCAAUUAAUAUGGUAAAAGAAGCAAGCGGUCGAGAUUCCCCUGCCGAUUGCUCUGAACCUGUGGAAGCAGGAUCUGAAAUGGCUCUAAGGUUACGGCUAUCGACUACCUGUAAAGACUUGAUCUUGUCAGUGGGCUCCAAGCACACCAUCGCACACUGCAAGGCUAAAUUACAUGCUCAAGAAUCAGUAGAGGUAUGGCGACAGCGUUGGUUCUAUGGUGGCAAGUUGCUCGGUGACCGUCUGCUGGUGGAGGAAGCGAAAAUCACAGCCGGUUAUGUUGUACAGGUUAUUGUCAGCACUGACCCACAUCCGCCUAGCUAGUUGGCUACAGGUCUCGUUGAGAUGAUACAGUACAACAAGUUGGCAAACAUUGAUCUAUUGGUCACUUUGUUGGAUAAACAUAGAUAAGAGAGCGGGAGAAACAUAACGGAUUUCAAGAUCACGCAAGUACCGCAAACCUUCUCAGAGAUACCUUCUCACACCUAUAGCUACGCAUAUAACUGUAUCAUAACGAGUAUAUUAAUCUAGUGAAUUCGGCAUUCCGAUCAUUAGAUGGCCGUGCACGGCGUCGCGAGAGGACACGUCUCGAUAAAUUAUUAUUUUUGUAUUCAUCUAAUGAUUAGAAUCGUGUGUACAUAUAAAUAAAUGUUAUAUAAAUUACAUAAGACGAAAAAGGAUUUCGAUACUUUUUUACGCGACCCGUGCUAGCGCGACGUGCACUACGAUGGAUGGCACGACAUUGUCACCGUCGUCGCCUCGUUUUUGAGUCGGUUAAACCUCGGAACGCCCGCACACUCUGUACAUAUAGAUAAAAUAUCGUCAUUCAUCCGAUAGGAGACGCUUCUUCUAAAAUAUCGAAUCGUACGAGUCUCGUGUACGAGCACUAAUUGUUUGGACGCUAAUAAUGCCGCCUUUUGCAACAAAUCGAUAAAAAGUGCCCCAAAAUAUUAACAACUAUCGUAACCUUCACUGCCGGAGUCGGUACAGCUUUUACGCUCGUGUAAUAGUCAAAAUGUCACGAGUUGUCAAAUAAAAAAAAAGCUGUCGUGAGCGCGCUAUCGGUUCGCUAUUUUUUAUUUGUCCCGUUCCUGUCUUAUGUCGAUAUUAUUGUCACUGCCGUAUUAUCCGUCGUUCGCGUUUAUAUGAAGGAAAUUUCUCAUUUUCGAAUCUAAUGACGAGCCGAAUGUUGCCGCUCAAUAGGCGUAAACAAUUUUCUAAAUGUUUUUAGCCACCGCCGGUCGUUCUCUCGACGACCGACGCGUGCCGAUUUUAAUUUGGGCAUUUACGAGGGAGUGCGGUGGUCAUUCCUAGAUCUCAACGUUGACUAUAUUAUUGUAUUGUUCUUGUCGUCUCUCCAAUAUUUGUGGGACGGUGCUAUUGUGUAGCGCGUAAUAAAUAAACACGAUUUUAACCCAUUUUAGCUUUUGUAACGUUUGAUAACGAUCUCCAAGACGAAGACUCCAGUGUUGUGUGAACGAAAUUCACUUCAUUUCACUCACGCGGUGUGAUCGACGAAAGUUAAUAGUUUUUAAAUAGUUGCUCACGUACUGAUAAAUAAAUUUGAACGAGAACGUGUACGAUGAGACGACAGAGAGACCAAUCCAUAACACGUAGACCGUAAUCUUUAGAUGCGUCCGAUGCAAUAUUGAAGCUCUAUUGCGCCUAUUUAUCUCAUUUACGAUGAAAGGUUUUUUACUUUGAAUGUUAUCGAAAUAUUAUUUAUUAAACGUAGUAUUAUUUAUCCUUCACGUAUCGCGCAAAGCGAACCAGAGCUGAACCAUUUCUUUAAAUAUUGAGUCCAGAGAGCCAUCGUCCUCCGUCACUGAUGACAUACGGGUAUCGAAAGCUUAGGCGAUUCUCGUUUUAUUGUUUUCUGAAGGGGAGUAUUAUGAAACUACUCCCAUACGGAAAGGAGUCCAUAACAAAUGAGAAGAGAACUGAGAAUUCCACGAGUUUCCCAUCGAGUGCCAUGACGACUUGCGAAGUCAGGUCGACGGCCAAUCUGAACGGUGUCCGCGGCGGGUCACCACCGGUCACCUCGACUGCGGUCGAAGCGCACAUCUCAAUCAUCUAGUUUUGUACAUUUUCUAUUUUAUCAUUCGCUUUUGGGUUCAUCGGCUGCGGAUGCUGUUCGUACGGGAUCACGUCGCUAUUUCAUCCAAAUGUCAUCGUAGAAAUCUAGUUUGUAACAAAUUAACAUACAUAUAUAUUAUUAAAAUCUAACGAUCUGAACGUUCGUAUUAUUUCUCGCAAACGCAAUUCUAAUGAAAAAUAGAGCUCGGUUUUGGUAAGAGUUUAAUUAGAAAAUCGGCUUCCUCCGGUAUCGUCUCGCGAUAGACGUUCUCGGCGGAGAUCUACUUGGGGAUGUACUUGAGCAGCUUGAUCUCGUGCGUGAGCCACACGGCCAGCGACAGCAGCAGCAGCGAGCCCGACUGGUGCGAGGCGGCCAACGGCGUCGGCACGUAGUGCAGCAGCGUCAGGACGCCCAGCGUGGCCUGCAGCCAGGCGGCGGCGGCGACCGCGACGGCCAGCCUCGACGCCGCCGGAGACAGCGGAGCCCGACGCGCCAGCAGGCCCAGCGCCGUGGCCGCCAGCAGCGUGCUCGCGCCGAGCACGCGGUGGUCGAGCUGCACGGUGCUGGGGUUCUCGGUGAAGUUGCGCAGGCGCGGAGUCAGCUGCCACGCGUCGUCGGGCACCCAGCGGUCGCCCAUCUUCGGGAACGAGUUGUACACGAGCCCGGCGUCCAGCCCCGCCACGAAGGCGCCCGAGAGGGCCGUCGCGAAGGCCAUCGCUCCGACGAAGUUCGCGGCGGCGGUCACCCGCGCGAGCUCGGCCGCUCGGCGGGCGACGGCGAGCGCGGGCGCGGGGCGAAGCACGCGCAGGGCUCCGCUCAACAGCCCCGCGUACAGCGUGAAGGCCAGCCCCAGGUGCGACGCCAACCGGUACUGAGAAACGCGCGGCACGUCCGAGGGGCCCCGGAACCGGUCCUCCAGGCCGGAUUUCACCAUGUACCACCCCAUCAGACCCUGAGGUUUGAAAUGAAGGGUGAUGGAUGUUUUACAAAAUUACUCUCUCUCUCGAGUGAAUCCGCGAACACACCUGAGCCCCGACGAGCGCGCAGUAAGCCGCCACCCUGAUCUUCAUGGGCCCGUCGAGACAACCCCGCAGCCAGAAGAAGGCGGCCGGAAGGAACACGGCGGCUCCGAUGGCGCGGCCCCAAGUGCGGUGCGCGAACUCCAUCCACCAGAUCCAUUUGAACUCUGACAGGUUCAUGUUCAUGUUCUUACUGGAAUAAAUGUGUUUGUAAUUUUGUCUAUGAUUGUA
Molecule: RNA transcript, 3940 nt
Organism: Pieris brassicae (large cabbage white)
Lineage: Eukaryota; Metazoa; Arthropoda; Insecta; Lepidoptera; Pieridae
Gene name: ubiquitin domain-containing protein 2
Exons: 6
Source: RefSeq, a predicted model, not a curated record